UUCUACUAUUGUUAAUGAAAAAAACAAAACAUAUUUCCUCUCUAUAUUUUAAUGAAUUUGAAUCAUAUCAACACGUGGCAAGAAAUGACGAAUAAGGACGUGUCAGUUAAAUAUUUUAAGAUAUUUUGCCUUUUUUUUUUUUACCUCAGCUGUUGUGUGAAAGGAGUUCAAUGUGGCUUGAUGAGUCAGUGAAGCUCACUUCAGGUGAGUUGUUGAGAAUAUCCUGAACUAAGGUGUUAGCUGCUGUUUGCUGGUGUUACUGAAAUUGGAUCUAACAUUGUUAGAGUUGGCAAUUAGCGAAUGAACUCACUUACAGCAUGAGAAUGUGAUCAAACGUCCUCAGAGGGAAAGUGUAAUAUGUAGUACAUACACUUGGUCCUAAAAUUAUUUGGCAACAUUAGCAUACAAAUACGUAUAGAGUAGAGCUGGGCGAUAGAACGAUAACGAUAUGUAUCGCGAUAUAACUUUUACUCGAUAGAGAAAUUAAGCUAUCGCGAUAGACCUCGCCGCUCUUGUCCUCAAAAAAAAAAAAAAAAAAGGUCAGCCAAUCCAAAUUAAGUAGCGCAGAGCCAAACCAAUCACAGCCGCAGCGUCACGUCGCGUGACUUGUUACGUUAAGCACAAGUGCCAAGCCGCACAUGUGUUUGUUUGGGAAGCAGCCAGCGGGAAAUGAGUGUGCCGACUAGAAAAAUCAACCGAGCGUGACCGAAGAGAAAACAGAUGACGGUUCCAAUGUCGGAGAGAUUGUCGAACGGAAGAGCCAUAGAAGUUCUGUAGUUUGAAGGUAUUUCAGCUAUUUCAAGUCUGACAAAAAACAGAGUAGCGCGCACUGUAAAUUGUGCCGAAAGCAAGUCUGGAAAUACAAUAAACUGGUGCAUGCGUCACACUGUGCGCCACGUUAUGGUUUCGGUGAAAUGAAUUUCUACAAUACUGUUAAUUCUACUCUCUGCAGUGUUUAAACGCUUACAUAUACACACAGUUACUGUCCGUCCACACAUACGACUCGGUUCUGCUUCUAUGCCCCAGCUUUGUUUACUUUUUCCCACCGAGGCUUCUAGACUUCUGAUUGGCCAACAUUUCUGCACGGUUAGGAAUCUAGCGCCACCUGCUGCUUUGGCAUGUUCAUAGCAGCGUUUUCC
Molecule: long non-coding RNA, 1139 nt
Organism: Astatotilapia calliptera (eastern happy)
Lineage: Eukaryota; Metazoa; Chordata; Actinopteri; Cichliformes; Cichlidae
Source: Ensembl